Molecule: ribosomal RNA, 406 nt
Filed under: uncultured bacterium
Lineage: Bacteria
Description: partial 16S ribosomal RNA
Rfam family: Bacterial small subunit ribosomal RNA
Source: RNAcentral
AUUGAACGCUGGCGGCAGGCCUAACACAUGCAAGUCGAACGAGUGGCGGACGGGUGAGUAAUGUCUGGGAAACUGCCUGAUGGAGGGGGAUAAAUCCUGGAAACGGUAGCUAAUACCGCAUACCAUCAGAUGUGCCCAGAUGGGCUUAGCUUGGUGGUGGGGUAACGGCUCACCAAGGCGACGAGCACUUGCUGGUCUGAGAGGAUGACCAGCCACACUGGAACUGAGACACGGUCCAGAAUCCUACGUGAGGCAUCAGUGGGGAAUAUUGCACAAUGGUCGCAAGCCUGAUGCAGCCAUGCCGCGUGUAUGAAGAAGGCCUUCGGGUUGUAAAGUACUUUCAGCGGGGAGGCGUUACCCGCAGAAGAAGCACCGGCUAACUCCGUGCCAGACGCCGCGGUAAUUC